GGCAAAUGAAAACAGGACUAGGCUGAGGGAUAAGGUGAACUCCAAUGCCUUAGCAACAUUGGCCUCAAUUCAUUCCAUGGAAAUCUGAAGCUAAUAAACCUCUUCAAAGAUGUCUGAAGUGUGGAAAGAAGGCUGAAAUGUUUUAUCUCUGUAUGAAACUUUCAUUCUCUAUAUUGCACGCAGCAACCCUCGAAGAGAUGAUACAUCAUAGGACAAAGUUGCUGCUUUCACCGGAUGGCAAUUCCAAAGUAGAGACUAAAUUGUGAGCAGUCAGCCGGCAACAUCUCCACCAGCUGGGGAACUGAAGGUGUCGAUCCAAAGCAGGAAUGUGGGUGGCACUUCACCACCGCCACAGCUGGAGGCUGUGAUGAGCGCCAUCAGAGGAAGAACCAUCUCUGAGAUGGAGACUGUGGUGAAUGGUUCAACCAGAGCAUAUCUUGGGGAGCUGCUUUUACAAAACCAGGGUCUUCUGGAUUUUGCAGUUCUCUGCUUCAUUAGGACCAGGAACUUGUCUGAGCCCAGAGAGAGCCUGAGUGGUGACGUUCAAAGGGAGAAGAUAAGCCUGGACUUCUUGGAAAGGAUGUUAGAGGAAGACAAGAAUCAUAUUGAAUUUAUGGCCCAGGCAAAUUGCAUAUGACCUCAUCUUAACUUGAUGACAUCUACAAAGACUCCAUUUCCAGCUCACGGUGAAGGAACCCUGAGAGGACAGAGCUAUGUGAUGGAAUGAGCCAGGAUCCCUGAGUCCUCACCUAGAGAAGAGAUGUGCAGAAGAGCCACUCAACAGAUGGUGGUGUGCUGAUAAACAUUUAGUGACCCAUUUGGGGUAUGGGGAAAGGCUCUAGUCAGUAACAUUUGUUCAUUUCUGUUAUGUAUACUCCCAGUAUGGCUGCGUUUAGACAACCAAGGUGAUGUCACUGAACACAGUUUGGAAUGGAUGCACAUAAUCAGUUCUUAUGAUGCUGGAUGAACCAACCCCAGCACACCACUGCCCCCAACCCACAUGUAACUGUGUCAUAAUUUUAAUUUAAAAAUAAACAUAUUUGGUUAAGCCUUUGAGAUUCAUUGGGGAUUGUUUGUUAUAGCAACUAGAUAGUGUUAACCUAGCUAAUAUAAUCCAGUACUUAGAAAAUUAUGAGAAACCGCUGGGCGUGGUGGCUCACGCCUAUAAUCCCAGCACUUUGGGAGGCCAAGGUGGGUGGAUCACAAAGUCAAGAGAUCGAGACCAUCCUGGUCAACAAGGUGAAAUCCCGUCUCUACUAAAAAUACAAAAAUUAGCUGGGCAUGGUGGUGCGCACCUGUAGUCCCAGCUACUCAGGAGGCUGAGGCAGGAGAAUUGCUUGAACCCAGGAGGCGGAGGUUGAGGUGAGCCGAGAUCGUGCCAUUGCACUCCAGUCUGGGUAACAACAGCGAAACUCUGUCUCAAAAAAAAAAAAAUUAUGAGAAACAAUCUACUUCAUUUUAGUGUAGCUGUUACAUCAAAAUUUGACAAUAUAAUAGAAGAAAGAAAACAUAAGCAGUCCUUUGUAAACACGAACAAUAAAUAAUUGUCUUACAUCAGCUUUAAAGUUCUUAAACAAAACCCAAUUAGUCAAACAAGCAGCAAGCAAACAUUUGUGUGCAAGUUAAAUUUAUUGCGAAGAUGCAAGAAUGAUUUAGAGAUAGAAGCUUCAUUGAUAAUUUAUCACAGUAGGUUCAAGGAGAAAAAGUACAUUAGCGUUAUAAUAGGUCCUGAAAAAGCAUUGAAAACAACAAUAAAAACUCUAUUAAGUGAAUGUUUCUAUAAUAUGAGAAAGAAUACAGAUACUAAACAGCCAAUGUCAUAUUUCAUUCUAAAACAUGAGAAUUCAGGAACAAGAGGAGAAUGGCC
This 1867-nucleotide long non-coding RNA is filed under the name Callithrix jacchus (white-tufted-ear marmoset). RNAcentral describes it as "lncRNA (ENSCJAG00000079290.1)". Lineage: Eukaryota; Metazoa; Chordata; Mammalia; Primates; Cebidae. The record is from RNAcentral.